Molecule: ribosomal RNA, 2921 nt
Filed under: Staphylococcus aureus
Lineage: Bacteria; Bacillati; Bacillota; Bacilli; Caryophanales; Staphylococcaceae
Description: 23S ribosomal RNA
Rfam family: Bacterial large subunit ribosomal RNA
Source: RNAcentral
UUAAGUUAUUAAGGGCGCACGGUGGAUGCCUUGGCACUAGAAGCCGAUGAAGGACGUUACUAACGACGAUAUGCUUUGGGGAGCUGUAAGUAAGCUUUGAUCCAGAGAUUUCCGAAUGGGGAAACCCAGCAUGAGUUAUGUCAUGUUAUCGAUAUGUGAAUACAUAGCAUAUCAGAAGGCACACCCGGAGAACUGAAACAUCUUAGUACCCGGAGGAAGAGAAAGAAAAUUCGAUUCCCUUAGUAGCGGCGAGCGAAACGGGAAGAGCCCAAACCAACAAGCUUGCUUGUUGGGGUUGUAGGACACUCUAUACGGAGUUACAAAGGACGACAUUAGACGAAUCAUCUGGAAAGAUGAAUCAAAGAAGGUAAUAAUCCUGUAGUCGAAAAUGUUGUCUCUCUUGAGUGGAUCCUGAGUACGACGGAGCACGUGAAAUUCCGUCGGAAUCUGGGAGGACCAUCUCCUAAGGCUAAAUACUCUCUAGUGACCGAUAGUGAACCAGUACCGUGAGGGAAAGGUGAAAAGCACCCCGGAAGGGGAGUGAAAUAGAACCUGAAACCGUGUGCUUACAAGUAGUCAGAGCCCGUUAAUGGGUGAUGGCGUGCCUUUUGUAGAAUGAACCGGCGAGUUACGAUUUGAUGCAAGGUUAAGCAGUAAAUGUGGAGCCGUAGCGAAAGCGAGUCUGAAUAGGGCGUUUAGUAUUUGGUCGUAGACCCGAAACCAGGUGAUCUACCCUUGGUCAGGUUGAAGUUCAGGUAACACUGAAUGGAGGACCGAACCGACUUACGUUGAAAAGUGAGCGGAUGAACUGAGGGUAGCGGAGAAAUUCCAAUCGAACCUGGAGAUAGCUGGUUCUCUCCGAAAUAGCUUUAGGGCUAGCCUCAAGUGAUGAUUAUUGGAGGUAGAGCACUGUUUGGACGAGGGGCCCCUCUCGGGUUACCGAAUUCAGACAAACUCCGAAUGCCAAUUAAUUUAACUUGGGAGUCAGAACAUGGGUGAUAAGGUCCGUGUUCGAAAGGGAAACAGCCCAGACCACCAGCUAAGGUCCCAAAAUAUAUGUUAAGUGGAAAAGGAUGUGGCGUUGCCCAGACAACUAGGAUGUUGGCUUAGAAGCAGCCAUCAUUUAAAGAGUGCGUAAUAGCUCACUAGUCGAGUGACACUGCGCCGAAAAUGUACCGGGGCUAAACAUAUUACCGAAGCUGUGGAUUGUCCUUUGGACAAUGGUAGGAGAGCGUUCUAAGGGCGUUGAAGCAUGAUCGUAAGGACAUGUGGAGCGCUUAGAAGUGAGAAUGCCGGUGUGAGUAGCGAAAGACGGGUGAGAAUCCCGUCCACCGAUUGACUAAGGUUUCCAGAGGAAGGCUCGUCCGCUCUGGGUUAGUCGGGUCCUAAGCUGAGGCCGACAGGCGUAGGCGAUGGAUAACAGGUUGAUAUUCCUGUACCACCUAUAAUCGUUUUAAUCGAUGGGGGGACGCAGUAGGAUAGGCGAAGCGUGCGAUUGGAUUGCACGUCUAAGCAGUAAGGCUGAGUAUUAGGCAAAUCCGGUACUCGUUAAGGCUGAGCUGUGAUGGGGAGAAGACAUUGUGUCUUCGAGUCGUUGAUUUCACACUGCCGAGAAAAGCCUCUAGAUAGAAAAUAGGUGCCCGUACCGCAAACCGACACAGGUAGUCAAGAUGAGAAUUCUAAGGUGAGCGAGCGAACUCUCGUUAAGGAACUCGGCAAAAUGACCCCGUAACUUCGGGAGAAGGGGUGCUCUUUAGGGUUAACGCCCAGAAGAGCCGCAGUGAAUAGGCCCAAGCGACUGUUUAUCAAAAACACAGGUCUCUGCUAAACCGUAAGGUGAUGUAUAGGGGCUGACGCCUGCCCGGUGCUGGAAGGUUAAGAGGAGUGGUUAGCUUCUGCGAAGCUACGAAUCGAAGCCCCAGUAAACGGCGGCCGUAACUAUAACGGUCCUAAGGUAGCGAAAUUCCUUGUCGGGUAAGUUCCGACCCGCACGAAAGGCGUAACGAUUUGGGCACUGUCUCAACGAGAGACUCGGUGAAAUCAUAGUACCUGUGAAGAUGCAGGUUACCCGCGACAGGACGGAAAGACCCCGUGGAGCUUUACUGUAGCCUGAUAUUGAAAUUCGGCACAGCUUGUACAGGAUAGGUAGGAGCCUUUGAAACGUGAGCGCUAGCUUACGUGGAGGCGCUGGUGGGAUACUACCCUAGCUGUGUUGGCUUUCUAACCCGCACCACUUAUCGUGGUGGGAGACAGUGUCAGGCGGGCAGUUUGACUGGGGCGGUCGCCUCCUAAAAGGUAACGGAGGCGCUCAAAGGUUCCCUCAGAAUGGUUGGAAAUCAUUCAUAGAGUGUAAAGGCAUAAGGGAGCUUGACUGCGAGCCCUACAAGUCGAGCAGGGUCGAAAGACGGACUUAGUGAUCCGGUGGUUCCGCAUGGAAGGGCCAUCGCUCAACGGAUAAAAGCUACCCCGGGGAUAACAGGCUUAUCUCCCCCAAGGUUCACAUCGACGGGGAGGUUUGGCACCCUCGAUGUCGGCUCAUCGCAUCCUGGGGCUGUAGUCGGUCCCAAGGGUUGGGCUGUUCGCCCAUUAAAGCGGUACGCGAGCUGGGUUCAGAACGUCGUGAGACAGUUCGGUCCCUAUCCGUCGUGGGCGUAGGAAAUUUGAGAGGAGCUGUCCUUAGUACGAGAGGACCGGGAUGGACAUACCUCUGGUGUACCAGUUGUCGUGCCAACGGCAUAGCUGGGUAGCUAUGUGUGGACGGGAUAAGUGCUGAAAGCAUCUAAGCAUGAAGCCCCCCUCAAGAUGAGAUUUCCCAACUUCGGUUAUAAGAUCCCUCAAAGAUGAUGAGGUUAAUAGGUUCGAGGUGGAAGCAUGGUGACAUGUGGAGCUGACGAAUACUAAUCGAUCGAAGACUUAAUCAA